Molecule: long non-coding RNA, 2928 nt
Organism: Oryza brachyantha (malo sina)
Lineage: Eukaryota; Viridiplantae; Streptophyta; Magnoliopsida; Poales; Poaceae
Exons: 3
Source: RefSeq, a predicted model, not a curated record
UCCGGAUCCUUCAGGAAGUCAGGUGUUCAUGGUUCCGCUAUCGGGGAAGAGGAAGGGGCCAGCGGCGGCGAGGCCAUGGCAGUGGAGCGCGCCGGCGGCCGGCGCUGGGCGAGAACACGACGACGCCGUUGUCACAAAGUUUUAUCCUGAUCGCACGAUUUUCAGUGAAUCCAAGUCGUCCAUCCACGGACGAGCGGUUUAGGCCGUCAAGACUAAGCCUGCAGCUGCCGCCGGCGACCACCGCGACGCCGUCCUCCUACCCAGGCGGCGCUUCAGAACCGCCUCACCCAUCCUGCCGCGCCUCAUUCUUCCUCUGCUCCGACGCCUUGCCUGUUAAAUCCGGGCCACUUCGCGUCCGGGCUUGUCUCUCUUCCCACCACGCCAAUGCAAGAAUCGUCUAUCGAAUGAACCCAGGGAGGGAGGUACGGGAAGCGGUGUGGUACAGGUGCACAGGCACGGCCGUGUGCGGCACCCUUCUUUCGGCGUCCGCAGAGGGCAACCUCAUCGGCAAGGUGGAUAAGCUGUUCGAGGAAAUGCCGGAGAGGAGAUACGGUGAGCACUGCAAAGCUGUUCGAGGAAAUGCCAAAGAGGGGAAGAAGUGAGCACCGUAUUGCCUGCAAGCACAGUAGUUGGGGCAAUGUAACUGGGAGGAAGGUGGAGUAGUCGUUGCCAAACCUGUGUUCUUCAAAAUAACAUUCGUCGUGCAUGAUCUGUGGAUGAAGGCUCUCUCUCAUUGGUCCUUGAUGAUAGUAGAUUGGCACAUCUAAGAAGAAAUUACCUUCCGUGGAAGAGGAUAGCAUGAAAAAUUGUUGCAGCAAGGGUUGCAAAACCAACACCAUAUGUGACAAGAAGGGAAGUACUGAGGUACAGUGGACCGUUCUUCUCGUAGGCCUUGGCGUCGAAAUGGAAGUGAGAGUCUACAAUGCUUGAUACAUUAUACUUUUGCCCAAUUGAGGUAAAGAUGCCAUCAGAAAAUAUGGGGAAGUUCUGUGCCUUGUAGAAAUUAAACCAGUAUGCAAUUGGUGUGAUUACGUACAUGAUGAUGAAGAAGCCAACACCAACAUUUACAGUGGCAAACCAAGGGCUAGCAAGAGGGCUCCCAAGGUAGGAGGAGGCAGUUGACCAGUCAAGGCCGAUUGCACCAACGCCGAGGCCUCGAAGACCUGAGCCAAGCUGUUGGGCAAGGACAGAGUCAGGGAAGAUCCAACAGAUCCAGGACAGGGAGGUUAGCAUCUGGAACAGAUAGCCUGGGAAGAUGCAGUAUGUGAAGCUACAGAUGAAUGCCGCCAAGAAAAACUGGUUGCGCGUCAAGCCACCUUUUCUGCGUGCUUCCUUCUGGUGAAGUGCACUAGGACAAAAAGAAAAUGUAAGUUACGCUUAUUUUCAUUACGAAAUGCAAAUGCAACUUCUUUGUCGCUUUAGAGGUCAUACAUAGGUGCAAAUCUUUAGUUUAAUCUGUGUUUAAAUCUUGGGUUUCUUGAUGAACUCAAAAGAAAUUGGUGUGUGUUUGUCUUGUCAUUCAUUGCUUGGGAAGUUAUUUGUAAAAUUAAUAGAAAGAACAUAUAAGAGUCAAGUCCCUCAGCUCCUAUGUCACUUGUUUUCUUCCAUUUAUUCUGUAGUUGGGUGCAGCACCGAGUGUUUACAAGUGUAACAUAUGGUGCAGAUUAGCUAGCGUCGAGGCUGAAGUAGAUCAAAAUGGUGUAAGGAUUCAGUUCUGGUGAGACUAUUUUGUCAUACUGUCUACUCUCUGGUUGUCAAGAAGUACCUGAACAGAGAGACCUGCACUAGGUUGGACGGCCACCACAUAGACGCCGGCUCAACUAGAUACCGCCGGAAUAUUCCUGCCCAGCCGAACCCCAGCAUCUGAUGAUAGUAUGAUUAAAAAAAUAAAAAGCUAGCAUAUCGAUAGGAUCUGAGAAGUAAAACUGCAAGAUGAAUGCAAUCACUUCGGAUUGUCAGGCGGAAGCUUGUGUGUGCAUGCACGCACCUGUGUGGUGAGGACGACGAGGAGGGAGAUGAAGAAGGAGAGGGGCUUCCCGUAGAAGACACGGACGCCGGUGAUGAGGUGGAUGGCGUAGACGGUGCCGGCGCCGGAGUUGGCGAAGAUGGUGAUGAGCACGUGCUCCUUCACGUUGAACGGCCCCGGGUUGAGGGUGAACUCCCAUGCCCGGGCGCGGAAGAAGGCGCGCUCCGGCAGCGCCGCCGCCAUGAGGCAGCCGAGCGGCACGACGGCGAUCUGCGCGGAGACGGCGGUGACGGUGAGCGGCUCCUUGCGGUACCAGAAGAACUGGUUGAGGAAGGACAGCGCGGCGCACGACGCCGUCCCCAGCAGGCCAGCACCCACAUCCGGAACGUCAGCGCCGGCGUCCCCGGCUCGUCGCCGACCGGCACCGUCAGCGCCACCUGUUCCACCGGCGAGUUCCCCUAUCCGUACUCCGGCGAGCCGCGCGUCGUCGACGUCGAUGGCCGCACUGCGCACGAUCGAGCAACAUCAUCAGCCAGCCAUAGCCAUUGCCAUAUAUGAAACCAGAACUGAACUAGCUGGAUAGGGCGAGCGCUUACAGAGCGGGGAGGUGAUCCGGUCGCCAUGGCGGAGCUCCUCCUCCUCCUCCUCCUCUUCCUCUUCUUGCAUCUGUUGCUCACUUGCUUCCUCUUGGGUCGUCGUCGUCAUGGUUUGUGUUGCAUGUGCUCACUUUUUUUUUUGGUUCCUCGGGUUCAUCAGAUAUUUGGCUUCAUCAUUUUUGUUCAUUUGAAAAAGUGGCGAAAGGGAUGCUUGUGUGCCAUAUUUAAUAGGCGACGCACGACGAGGUUGGUAUCUUGUACCGGUAGGAGAACCAUUUUUUACGGUAAAGCAUUAUUUUUUUUUCUUUUUGCAUGUUGACCUUUCUAAGAAAAUACAUUAAAAAUGGUUUGUACGUAUUGAGUGAA